AUACAUAGGGUGCGAGCGUUAAUCGGAAUUACUGGGCGUAAAGCGCGCGUAGGCGGCUACUUAAGUCAGAUGUGAAAUCCCCGGGCUCAACCUGGGAACUGCAUCUGAUACUGGGUAGCUAGAGUUUUGGAGAGGGAAGUAGAAUUUCAGGUGUAGCGGUGAAAUGCAUAGAGAUCUGAAGGAAUACCAGUGGCGAAGGCGACUUCCUGGCCAAAAACUGACGCUGAGGUGCGAAAGCGUGGGUAGCAAACGGGAUUAGAAACCCUUGUAGUCC
Molecule: ribosomal RNA, 274 nt
Filed under: uncultured bacterium
Lineage: Bacteria
Description: partial 16S ribosomal RNA
Rfam family: Bacterial small subunit ribosomal RNA
Source: RNAcentral